RNAcentral lists this small RNA (242 nucleotides) under Arabidopsis thaliana (thale cress). RNAcentral describes it as "ATSL136780". The record is from RNAcentral. Lineage: Eukaryota; Viridiplantae; Streptophyta; Magnoliopsida; Brassicales; Brassicaceae.
AAAAAUGUUACGUGGUAUGUAUAAUGUUACUAUAUAUAAAAUUAAACUAUAAAAUAUAAAUGUAUUAGAAAAUGAUACAAUUUACAAAACUUUUAUAUAUAAUAAAUAAUUCUUAAAUUUUUAAAAUUACUACUUUAAUUAAAAAAUUACGGGACGGGUAAAGAAAUUAUAGAACGAGUUUUAUUUUGGAAUUGAGUUAUAUGGUGGAUGUAUUUGAAUCAAUAUUUAUAAAAUUUUAAAAU